UGAGGAAUUUUCCGCAAUGGGCGAAAGCCUGACGGAGCGACGCCGCGUGGAGGAUGAAGGUUUUCGGACUGUAAACUCCUUUUAUAUGGGAAGAUUAUGACUGUACCAUAUGAAUAAGCACCGGCUAACUACGUGCCAGCAGCCGCGGUAAUACGUAGGGUGCAAGCGUUAUCCGGAAUUACUGGGCGUAAAGAGUGCGUAGGCGGUUUUUUAAGUUAGAUGUUAAAUAUAUGGGCUCAACUCAUAUGCUGCAUCUAAUACUGGAAGACUUGAGAGUGGAAGAGGCAGAUGGAAUUCACAGUGGAGCGGUAGAAUGCGUAGAUAUUGUGAGGAACACCAAUGGCGAAGGCAGUCUGCUGGGCCACUUCUGACGCUGAGGCACGAAAGCGUGGGGAGCGAU
Molecule: ribosomal RNA, 400 nt
Filed under: uncultured bacterium
Lineage: Bacteria
Description: bacterial SSU rRNA
Rfam family: Bacterial small subunit ribosomal RNA
Source: RNAcentral